This 228-nucleotide unclassified non-coding RNA is filed under the name Hevea brasiliensis (rubber tree). The record is from RNAcentral. Lineage: Eukaryota; Viridiplantae; Streptophyta; Magnoliopsida; Malpighiales; Euphorbiaceae.
GGCAAUUGGUGUCCACAAGCCUCUAGUGAAUCCCGUAGGAGAAAAUUACCUCUAGUGAUCCCGAAGGGACACAAUCUGGUGAUAUGGAAGGAAUACCAUCCGCACAACCAACAUAAGAGGGUAACUAUCACUAACAUGCAUAACCUAACAUGCAUAACUGUUAAAGUACAUAGAAAGUCCUACAUCAUAGAUUCGUAAUCUUCCUACACGCAAAUAUAAUCAUGCUCA